GAUGAACGCUGGCGGCGUGCCUAAUACAUGCAAGUCGAGCGAACGGACGAGAAGCUUGCUUCUCUGAUGUUAGCGGCGGACGGGUGAGUAACACGUGGAUAACCUACCUAUAAGACUGGGAUAACUUCGGGAAACCGGAGCUAAUACCGGAUAAUAUUUUGAACCGCAUGGUUCAAAAGUAAAAGACGGUCUUGCUGUCACUUAUAGAUGGAUCCGCGCUGCAUUAGCUAGUUGGUAAGGUAACGGCUUACCAAGGCAACGAUGCAUAGCCGACCUGAGAGGGUGAUCGGCCACACUGGAACUGAGCCACGGUCCAGACUCCUACGGGAGGCAGCAGUAGGGAAUCUUCCGCAAUGGGCGAAAGCCUUACGGAGCAACGCCGCGUGAGUGAUGAAGGUCUUCGGAUCGUAAAACUCUGUUAUUAGGGAAGAACAUAUGUGUAAGUAACUGUGCACAUCUUGACGGUACCUAAUCAGAAAGCCACGGCUAACUACGUG
Molecule: ribosomal RNA, 497 nt
Filed under: uncultured bacterium
Lineage: Bacteria
Description: partial 16S ribosomal RNA
Rfam family: Bacterial small subunit ribosomal RNA
Source: RNAcentral